CACCAGUUGAAAUCGCAGUCUGGCAAAGCCCUUGGACACUCUGGUCUCUCCCGGAAGAAAUUCCUUGAACACAGCCGUUAGGCUUUCAUAGUACUUUGCAGCCAGCUUCCUAACAAGCCAGCCUGACACGCAGUCCCUUAGGCGGACUCAGCCUACCAGGCUCUCCACCAGCCUGCUAGUCGGCCAGCCUCUCCUCCAGGUUCUUGGCAAGCAUUCCAGCAAGCCUCUGUGUUGGCCUCUUAGCGAGUUAACCUGGAGAUCAGCCUGCCAUGCAGUCAGCAUUUUGAAUAGCCUUCCAGCAAGCCUCUCCCCCUGCCAGAAAACCCAUCAUUCGACCAUCCUACCAUGCAGCCAGGCUCUAGGCCAGCCUCCAAAAAACCGGCCUACAACCCAGCCUUCUAGCCAAAUUCAUCUUGCCAGACUCUCUGGAAAUGUUUUAGGAAGGAUUGAAGGCAGCCUCUCAGAUAGUCUCUUACAAAAGCUCUCAGGCUCCCAGACAGCUAGCCUCUGAUGCAGCCUUUCAGAAAGCCUCUUAAGCGAAUCUCUCAUCUAGCCAGCUUUCAGACCAACCUCCCAUGCAGCCAGCAUUUUUAACAGCCAUCCAGCAAGCCUCUUGCACAGCCAAUCUGCCACUCUACCACUUUCCUCGCCAGCCUCUGGGUUAGCCUUCCAUGAAGCCAGCCUCUAGGCCAGAUUCCUAACAAGCCAGUCUUGCAUUUGGACUCUUAGCCAGAUUCAGCCGGCCAGGAUGUCAGCAGGCCUUUUAGCAUGCGAUUAUGGCAGCUUCUCAGACAGAAAGCCUCUAACACAGGCUCUUGGCCAGCCUCCCAGCGAGCCAGCCUCUUAGCAAGCCUCUAUGCCACUUUCCAAGACAGUCCUUCACUAGAACAGCUUCCCAUGCAGCCAGCGCCUUGGCCAGCCUUCCAGCAAGCCUCUCAGUAGUUCUGUUAGCCAGCCGCUUAGCCAGCCAGCUUCAGAACCAGCCUCCCAUGCCACCAAUGUCAUGGUCAGCCUUUUUGUAAGCCUCUCAGAGAGCCUUUUAGGCAGCUUCCUGAAUAGCCAGCCUCAAGACCAGCCUCCUUUGCAGCCAGCAUUUUGAACAGCCUCAGUGGGACUGAAGGAGAAAGCAGCUAAUGUUUAGGGUUGCUUUUAAGCUGGCCUGGUCCCUCCGCCCUGCAGGGCGCCCCCAUCCCAGGCCUGGGGGGCCUACCUGGGAAGAAGGCCCAGACCUCAGAGCCCAGGAUUGCUGCCCCACCACUGCUUCACUCCUCUACCUGCUCACUUUGUCCCCGGGCGCCCCAUGCCCCACUCUGAAGGGGCGAUCCUCCCACAGCUGUUACCUCCUCCUGCAAUCCCCAGCUCAGGCAGGGCAUGGCACCUCUUCUUCACAUCUCUUAUGUUCAGGUCCAUGGUCGUCAUUUUCACCAUCAUCCCCUGCAGCUUCCAGCCAUAGCCCGGGAGGCAGCUUUGUGAAUCUUCAUGAGUUCUCCAUAGUGAAUGACUUAAGAGUCUUUGGUGUAGACCAGCUGAGUGAAAGCGCUCGGGUGCUUCAGGCUCUUCGCACCCUUGACAGCAGCAGCAGAGAGCCUCUCCAUGGCCACAGCCACCUGUUGAGAGCUCGCGCCUCCCUCUCGCCAUUUCCCAGGCCCCACUGCUCAUCCUUACCCUUCUUCAUCGACAAACCUGGCCCGACACCAGUUGAAAUCACUGUCUGGCAGAGCCCUUGGACACUCCGGCCUCUCCCGGGAGAAAUUCAUUGAGCAGAGCUGUUAGGCUUUCAUAGUACCUUGCAGCCAGUUUCUAGGCCAGCCUCCUAACAAGCCAGUCUGACACCCAGGCUCUUAGCCAGACUGAGCCUACUAGGCUCUCAGCAAGUCUUUUAGCCAGAAUUUAAGGCAGCCUCUCAGACAGACAGCCUCUCACACAGGCUCUCUGCCAGCCUCCUAGUCAAACAGCCUCUUGUCUAGGUUCUUGGCAAGCCUCCCACCAAGGCUCUGUCGGCCUCCUAGCCAACCUGCCAUGCAGUGAGCAUUCUGAACAGCCUUCAAGCAAGCCUCUCCCCUGCCAGAAAACCUGUCAUUCGACCAUCCUCCCAUGCAGCCGGGCUCUAGGCCAGCCUCCAAAAAACCAGCCUGACACCCAGCUUCCUAGCCAAAUUCAUCUUGCCAGACUCUCUGGAAACAUUUUAGGAAGCACUGAAGGUAGCCUGUCGGACAGACUCUCACACAGGCUCUCGGACAGGCUCUCAGACAUGCAGCCUCUGAUCCAGCCUUUAAGAAAGCCUGUAAGCGAAUCUCCCAUCCAGGCAGCUUCCAGACCAACCUCCCAUGCAGCCACGGUUAACAGCCAUCCAGCAAGCCUCUUCCACUGUCAAUCUGCCACUCUGCCACUUUCCUCGACAGCCUCUAAGCCUUCCAUGCAGCCAGUGUCUAGGCCAGGCUCCUAACUAGCCAACUUUGCAUUCAGACUCUUAGCCAGAUUCAGCCUGCCAGGAUCUCAGCAGGCUAUUUACCAAGUGUUUACGGCAGCCUCUCACACAGGCUGUCAGCCAAGCCUCCCUGCGAGCCAGCCUCUCAGCAAGCUUCUAUGCCACUUUCCAAGACAGUCCUUCACUAGAUCAGCCUUCCAUGCAGCCAGAGCCUUGGCAAGCCUUCCAGCAACCCUCUGUUAGCCAGCUGCUUAACCAGUCGGCUUCAGAACCAGCCUCCCAUGCCACUGAUGUGGCCAGUCUCCCAUGCCACCGAUGUGGCCAGUCUCCCCAUAACUCAGAGAGCCCCUUAGGCAGGCCUCCUGACUAGUCAGCCUCAAGACCAGCCUCUUUUGCAGCCAGGGUUUCGAACAGCCUCAGUGAGAGUGGAGGAGGAGAAAGCAGCGAAUGUUUGGGGUUGCUUUGAAGGUGGCCUGGCCAGGCCCCAAUCCCUGGCCUUGGGUGGGGCAUGCCCGGGAAGAAGGCCCAGACCCUGGGGCCCAGGAUUGCCGCCCCGCCGCCACCCCACUCCUCCACCUGCUCGCUUUGUCCCCGGAACCCCCACAACCCAUGCUGAAGGGGUAAUCCUCAAACAGCUGUCACCUCCUUCUGCAGACCCAGCUCAGGUAGGUCAUGGCGCCUCUUCACAUCUCUUGUGCUCAGGUCCGUUUUCUUCGUCUUCACCGUCAUCCCCUGCAGAUUCCAGCCAUGGCCCCAGUAGGCAGCUUUGUGGAUCUUCCUGAGUUCCCCACAGUGCAUGACUUAAGAGUCUUUGGUGUAGACCAGCUGCAUUAAGGUGCUCGAGCGGUCCGGGCUCGUCAUGCCCUUUACAGCAGCAGCAGAGAGCCUCUCCAUGGCUGCGACCACCUGUUAAGAGAGAGCCCGUGCCUCCCACUCGCCAUUACGUAGCCCCGGGUGCUUGUUUUUGCCCUUCUUCUGCGCCACACCUGGCCCCACUCCAGUAGGAAUCACAGUCUGGCAAAGCCCUUGGACACUGUUUUCUCUCGGGAGAAAUUCGUUGAGCAGAGCCGUUAGGCUUUCACAGUACCUUGCAGCCAGUCUCCUAACAAGCCAGCCUGACACCCAGUCUUUGGCAGACUCAACCUACCAGGCUCUCAGCAAGCCUUUUGGCAAGAAUUUAAGGCAGCCUCUCAGACAGCCUCUCACACAGGCUCUCUGCCAGCCUCCUAAUCGGCCAGCCUCUCAUCCAGUUUGUUUACAAGCAUCCCAGCAAGCCUCUGUGUUGACCUCCUAGCCAGCCAGCCUGAAGACCAGUGUCCCAUGCAGCCAGCAUUCUGAGCAGUGUUCCAGCAAGCCCCUCCCCCGCCAGAAAACCCGUCAUUCGACCAGCCUCCCAUGCAGCCAGGCUCUAGGCCGGCCUCCAAAAAACCGGCCUGGCAUCCAGCCUCCUAGGCAAAUUCAUCUUGACAAACUCUCAGCAAGUGUUUUAGGAAGCAUUGAAGGCAGGCUCUCAGACAAGUCUCUCACUCAGGCUCUCGUCCAGGCUCCCAGCCAGCCAGCUUGUGAUUCAGCCUUUCGGAAAACCUCUAAGUGAUUCUCAUCCAGCCAGCUUCAAGUCCAACCUCCCAUGCAGCCAGCGUUUUUAACAGCCAUGCAGCAAGCCUCUUGCACAGCCAGACAAUCUGCCACUCUGUCGGUUUCCUCACCAGGAUCUGGGUUAGCCUCCCAUGCUUCUAGCCUCUAGGCUAGGCUCCUAACAAGCCAGCCUUGCAUUCAGACUCUUAGCCAGAUUCAGUCUGCCAGGAUGUCAGCAGGCCUUUUAGCAAGUAUUUACAGCAGUGUCUCAGACAGCCUCUCACACAGGCUCUCGGCCAGCCUCCCAGGGAGCCAGCCUCUCAGCAAGCCUCUAUGCCAGUUUCCAAGACAGUCCUUCACUAGACCAGCCUCCAACGUAGCCAGCCCCUUGGCUAGCCUUCCAGCAAGCCUUUCAGUAAGUCUGUUAGGUAGCCACUUAGCCAGUUAGCUUCAGGACCAGCCUCCCAUGCCACCAAUGUCAUGGUGAGCCUCCCAGUAAGCCCCUCAGAGAGCCUGUUAUGCAGCCUCCUGACUAGCCAGCCUGAAGACCAGCCUCCCUUGCUGCUAGUGUCUGAACAACUUCAGUAGGAGUGAAGGAGGAAGCAGCCAGCGGGGUGGAGCCAAGAUGGCCGAAUAGGAACAGCUCCAGUCGACAGCUCCCAGUGUGAGUGACGCAGAAGACAAAUGAUUUCUGCAUUUCAACUGAGGAUUUUCUUGCUUUGCCCACCAAGCCGCUCCAUGCCAGAAGGAGGAGCAACCUGCUACACACUGGAGCCUGGAGUCUGGAGACUGGGACAUGGCAGAUGGCCUCAUUGCAGUGGGUGGCAUGCUGGAGUGGAUCAUCCAUUUAUAAGGCUGGACAGGAAUUUGAGGGGCCACCUUGGGAAAAAGAACUGAACAUGUGCUGAGCAGCUACUGUGAGCUGGGCUCUUUCACCUGCUCUCUGGGUGAACUCCUGGCCGUCAAGUCUUUGGACUUGAACAAUCUGUAGCUAGGAAGAAACACAACCACAGUCCAACCUAUUCUUCAGUUACAUUCAAGAGGCCAAGCGAGCUACACCUGCUGUUAGAAAUAAAUGCUUGGUGCCCCAAAGAGGAAUCAGCACUCUGGCGAAGAGUUUUCUCAGCAAGGCAAAUUUACUUCUGCAGAAGGAUGUUGCUCAUGAGUCUGGUCACCACAAGAGCACACCGAACAAAGGUAUAAUUACUAUUCCUAUUGACUGAGAAGCAACAAAAUUAAGGCACAGUAAGUUUUUCAUUGCUACCAGAUGUAAAUGUGAUUUAGAUUUGCAUACUGACCCUAUUUCAUGUGACCUGAGUGAUUAUGUUGAUAAUGUGAAGACUGAAGAUGGAAACACACUCAAUUCUUGAGUAGUCAGUACUCAGAAGAGAGCUUCCCUGGAGAAUCCUCGGACCUGCAACAUGGUUAGGGGUGAAUGGAUAAGACAUGUUUAUUAAGUCACUGAGAUGUUGGAAUUAAUUUGUUAACACGGAUUAAAUUAGUUAAAUUAUACUAUCCCAUUAAGUAAAGAUAUAGAAUUUCAAUAGGUUAUAUGAAAAAAUAAAAUAGCAUGAAGAUGAUUGUUACUUGAAGUUAAGUAACUCAGUUCAAGGCUACCUAUUUGUUACUCAGAAUUGGGGCCAAAUUCAAACUAAAAUUAAAUGUUGGAAAAAAAUCCUAAGGAAUCACUACCUUCCAAGACUUAGUCAAGAAUAAAAGUGAGUAUUAUGUCAUUUUAGACUGGAUUUUUUUUCUACAAUAACAACUCCUAGAGCAGGUGGUUCCUUUCCAAGUCAUAGGAAUACAGAAUUAAGAUUUCCAGCAUGAGUAUUCAGUAGAGAGGUUUGGCUAGCUAACUCUUGCCAGAUCUAAAAUCAACCAGUGAGCACCUCUGAUAUCAGACAAGGCCAGAUAAGCAAAAUGAAAUCUCUCAAACAUUUUGCCUAUGAGUCAGUUACUGAUCACACGUUAACAGCUAGAAGGAACAAUAGGCAGUUGCACUGCAAUGGCUUUCUCUCUCUGCCCUAAGUGAUUUUUUUUUUUUACUUAAACUAAUCACAGUUAGCCACUGAAUGUUUUAUAAAAAGAGAAGAUAGAUCAGUACAUUGAACAGUGCUAAUAAUCUUAAAUUAUAGAUAAUCUUACAUUAAGAAAAUGAGAACUGGCCGAGUGUGGUGGCUCACACCUGUAAUCCCAGCAAUUUUGGAGACUGAGGCGGGUGGAUCACUUGAGGUCGGGAGUUCAAGACAGCCUGGCCAACACGGUGAAACCCUGUCUCUACUAAAUACACAAAAAUUAGCGGGGCAUGGUGGCACGCACCUGUAAUCCCAGUUACUUGGGAGGGUGAGGCAGAAGAAUCACUUGAACCUGGAAGGCGGGGUUUGCAGUGAGCAAAGAUCAUGCCACUGAACUCCAGCCUGGACAAGAGUGAGACUCUGUCUCAAAAAAAAAAAGAAAAGGAGGGCUAAUGAUAGCCUUUUAAAAAGAUGCAUUAAAUUACAGAAAGUAAAUGAAUGGGGAAAUGGUCCCAGAUGACUAGUGAAUAUUUUUCUUAGCUUUUUAAAAUGUAGGUAUAACAUGGAAAUCAUAAAAAUCCUAAAAUGUACCAUUUCAUAUAACAUACGAAAUUUGCAUUGCCAUACAAUAUUUAUCAAUGUAUCUUACUAAACUCCUAAAGACUAAAUUCAAUUGUUAUCCUUCUAUCUGAAGUUUUUUUUAAUAACCACUAGAGCAUUAAUAUAAGGAAAAGUUUUGACAGUGGCAUUCAUUUUAUUUCAUCUUUGAAUAGAUGGGGUUCUACGUGUAAUCACAUUGGCACUUGGGGCCUAACAAUUAAUGGAGAUUUUCAAAUGGACUUGGAGGUUGCCAUGUAGGACUUCCUCCAAUAGCAGUUCUAUUUGGGCAUGGAGAAUAUAAACCACUGCCAUAGCUUCAAUUUAAGAACCUGGAAGACAUUACCACUGCUAUCUCCUCUUCGACAACCAGCUCAAAACCUCCUCACAGCCCUUGUGAUCAGAAAGUGGAUCCACAAGGCUGCCUCCACAGCUCCUGUCCACACUCGUGUCCCUGGGACCUUGCUUGCCUGCAGAAACCUCAGCAGGAUAUGGGCUUUCAGUUCAGAGAUGAAUUGCAGUUUCUUUUUUCAUCUAUGAUGUUAUUGAAAGAACGUUGCCAGGAGAGCUUAGACAAAGAGAUCUCCUCCUGUCUCAGGCACUCACUGGACGUGUGUCCUUGGUUACAUAGAGGAUGUUAUCCAGGUCCUGUGUUGUGACAAUAAAACCACAAGAUUUUGAAGAAGCCUGCACCUCUGCAACCUCUGCAUUGAACUGCAUGAAGCACAGUCACUGGUCACGAGGCCUACAGUGGGCUGACUCUACAUGAAGAUGCACAUCCAGAGAUUCAUUUUCCUUGCCUCUGGGUCUAUGGAGUUAUAAAGAAGGAAGUAAUUAAGCAUCUUGUUAUUGAACGGUCAAAAGGGAAAUAGCACUGAAAAUUAUUUGCAAGAGUUCUGUGUAUGAUCAUCUAUUUCCAUAAAAGAAGAAAGUAUCGGUAUCCAACAUGUCCAAAGCUAUGAUAAAUUCUGAUGUCAAAUAAAGGACUAACAUACUGAAGUACAGUAAUGUCAAAUGGUACCAAUCAAAAAAAUACGGAGGAAAAAAUCUAGAGGUGCCUGCAACAUUAGAUACUCAUAUUAAUUCAUGAAUUAAUACAAAGGAGUUUUCAUCACACCUGUGUCAUAUUUCUCUGCAGUUUCUAGCCUUGUUGCAUGUUUUACUGAAUUUCAGAGGAGCUAAUGCUCUAUUAAAAACAAGAAGGAAGACUUGAAUGUAGAAACAAAAAAUAGGAUCUUUAAUAAGAUAUUUACAGAUAUAACAAAAUAUAUACAUAUCCACCCAUAUGACAAAUAAAUGAAUUCAGUAUCAUCAUCUUUCUAUGUUUUAUAAUCAAUUUUAUUUUUGUUCAGAAAAGGUUAAUCUCUCAUUUUUAUUCUACAAUAUAUAAUUGAUGGCUAAUUAUUUAAAAAGUUAUUGCUUAUAUGAUAUAAUAAGGGGAACUCUGGGACAAUAAAGACUGUAUUUUCUGAGAAACAAAAUAUAAAGUAUGUUGAAAUUCAUGCUCUGGAUACUAAAUAUUGUUGAAUAUUUGAAAAGUCGGCUUGGUUAUUUUUUGCCUAACUGAAAAGUCUGGAGGAUUGAAUGGCCAAUUUGAUUAAACCUUUUCCAUAAAAUUUGAUUUCACCUCCUCAGUAAAAUGAACAGGUGAAACAAUACAAAAUAAACAUGGCUGCAUAAGCAAGCACUUAAUUAGUUACAGCUUAUUUUCAAAUGCAUUCUUUAAAUGUGAAUCUUUAUAUGGUAUCUCACAUCAAUAUAUAUAAAUAUUAUAUCUUCAAACUAAGCACCACCCUUGGGUUACAGUGGAAAACACUAUGAUUCUAUAAAUAAGUGCUUACAUGUAUGUACUUUUUGAUGGAAUGUAUUUAUUUAAUAAAAUCUCAUUAAGUUUA
This is a long non-coding RNA of Pongo pygmaeus (Bornean orangutan), 8510 nucleotides long. RefSeq lists it as uncharacterized. The transcript has 11 exons. The record is from RefSeq and is a predicted model, not a curated record. Lineage: Eukaryota; Metazoa; Chordata; Mammalia; Primates; Hominidae.